UACGGAGGGUGCUAGCGUUGUUCGGAAUCACUGGGCGUAAAGGGCGUGUAGGCGGUCUGUUAAGUCUGAUGUGAAAUCCCCUCGCUCAACGAGGGAACUGCGUCGGAUACUGGCAGACUUGAGUACCGGAGAGGAAGGUGGAAUUCCCGGUGUAGCGGUGAAAUGCGUAGAUAUCUGGAGGAACACCGGUGGCGAAGGCGGCAUCCUGGACCGGUAUUGACGCUGAUGCGCGAAAGCCAGGGGAGCAAACGGG
Molecule: ribosomal RNA, 253 nt
Filed under: uncultured bacterium
Lineage: Bacteria
Description: partial 16S ribosomal RNA
Rfam family: Bacterial small subunit ribosomal RNA
Source: RNAcentral